RNAcentral lists this transfer RNA (73 nucleotides) under Actinoplanes digitatis. It matches the Rfam family "tRNA". Rfam says of the family: Transfer RNA (tRNA) molecules are approximately 80 nucleotides in length. Their secondary structure includes four short double-helical elements and three loops (D, anti-codon, and T loops). Further hydrogen bonds mediate the characteristic L-shaped molecular structure. tRNAs have two regions of fundamental functional importance: the anti-codon, which is responsible for specific mRNA codon recognition, and the 3' end, to which the tRNAs corresponding amino acid is attached (by aminoacyl-tRNA synthetases). tRNAs cope with the degeneracy of the genetic code in two manners: having more than one tRNA (with a specific anti-codon) for a particular amino acid; and 'wobble' base-pairing, i.e. permitting non-standard base-pairing at the 3rd anti-codon position. Lineage: Bacteria; Bacillati; Actinomycetota; Actinomycetes; Micromonosporales; Micromonosporaceae. The record is from Rfam by way of RNAcentral.
GCCUCCAUAGCUCAGCGGAUAGAGCACCGGAUUACGGAUCCGGGUGUCCGAGGUUCGAAUCCUCGUGGAGGCA